RNAcentral lists this ribosomal RNA (1100 nucleotides) under Staphylococcus epidermidis. RNAcentral describes it as "partial 16S ribosomal RNA". It matches the Rfam family "Bacterial small subunit ribosomal RNA", at positions 42 to 1152 of the family's 1533-position model. RNAcentral also lists the same sequence under 1 other name. The record is from RNAcentral. Lineage: Bacteria; Bacillati; Bacillota; Bacilli; Caryophanales; Staphylococcaceae.
AUGCGCGNCCUAUCAUGCAGUCGAGCGAACAGACGAGGAGCUUGCUCCUCUGACGUUAGCGGCGGACGGGUGAGUAACACGUGGAUAACCUACCUAUAAGACUGGGAUAACUUCGGGAAACCGGAGCUAAUACCGGAUAAUAUAUUGAACCGCAUGGUUCAAUAGUGAAAGACGGUUUUGCUGUCACUUAUAGAUGGAUCCGCGCCGCAUUAGCUAGUUGGUAAGGUAACGGCUUACCAAGGCAACGAUGCGUAGCCGACCUGAGAGGGUGAUCGGCCACACUGGAACUGAGACACGGUCCAGACUCCUACGGGAGGCAGCAGUAGGGAAUCUUCCGCAAUGGGCGAAAGCCUGACGGAGCAACGCCGCGUGAGUGAUGAAGGUCUUCGGAUCGUAAAACUCUGUUAUUAGGGAAGAACAAAUGUGUAAGUAACUAUGCACGUCUUGACGGUACCUAAUCAGAAAGCCACGGCUAACUACGUGCCAGCAGCCGCGGUAAUACGUAGGUGGCAAGCGUUAUCCGGAAUUAUUGGGCGUAAAGCGCGCGUAGGCGGUUUUUUAAGUCUGAUGUGAAAGCCCACGGCUCAACCGUGGAGGGUCAUUGGAAACUGGAAAACUUGAGUGCAGAAGAGGAAAGUGGAAUUCCAUGUGUAGCGGUGAAAUGCGCAGAGAUAUGGAGGAACACCAGUGGCGAAGGCGACUUUCUGGUCUGUAACUGACGCUGAUGUGCGAAAGCGUGGGGAUCAAACAGGAUUAGAUACCCUGGUAGUCCACGCCGUAAACGAUGAGUGCUAAGUGUUAGGGGGUUUCCGCCCCUUAGUGCUGCAGCUAACGCAUUAAGCACUCCGCCUGGGGAGUACGACCGCAAGGUUGAACUCAANGAAUUGACGGGNACCCCCCNAGCGGUGANCAUGUGGNUUUAUUCGANCACGCGAAAANCUUACCAAUCUGACNUCUCUGACCCUCUAANAUAGAGUUUCCCCUNCGGGGAAANANUGACAGGGGUGCAUGGUUGUCCUCNNCUCNUNCCUGANAUGUGGGUUAAUCCCCCACGNCGCACCCUUANCUUANUGCCUCNUANUNGGNCCUCUAGUGACGCC